Myotis lucifugus (little brown bat) is the source of this 1248-nucleotide long non-coding RNA. RefSeq lists it as uncharacterized. The record is from RefSeq and is a predicted model, not a curated record. NCBI's taxonomy places the organism in Eukaryota, Metazoa, Chordata, Mammalia, Chiroptera, Vespertilionidae. The transcript has 3 exons.
UUUUUUUAAGAAAAACCAUUUAAAGUGUGAGUUGUUUCCUUCUAACAAGCAAACCACUAAAACCACUAUUCAUUCUCUCUGGAAAAUGAACAUACUGUAAAUAAUUUUCUUGACUUUUUAUUUCAGUUAGUUCAAAAUCUCUGCCUCCUCCCUCCUCACCCCUCCUUCAGUUUAUGUUUCCAUUUUCCUCUGAUGUCUUGUUUAUUUUGCUAGAAUUUGAAAGUGUUAUUGAUGUUAUGCUUAUGGGUAUUUCUAGUUUCCUUUAACCUUGGGAUACAAAUUGAUUUUUCACGGGCUAAUUCAUCUUCAAGAUUCCUUGGCUUGAAUUUGGCCCAUUCAUUGAUCUAAAAUGGUUGCGAAGCCAUGGAGCAGAACGAGGCAGAUCCUAACCUACGUGGUGAGAGCAAAUCAGCUUUUUCCACUGUUCUCUCUGUGCUCCUGAGCGGGUCAAGGAGGGAACGUGCAGGAUGACCCAGAGGUGAUCCCAGCUCCCUGGCUCCAGCACCGUCCACACACAAAGCAGCACGCAGCACACAGAACUCAGUGGCUGGCCAGCCGUGACCUUAGCUGAGGGGGCAACCAGCCCUUCCGACAUCCCGUGUUUACAGCAUCCUUUGAAAAAGACUCUGAAUAAGAUGCAACCUGGGACCAGGAAAUGAAGCUGCACCUAAUCACAUAACUGGCUCAUUUCACGGCUUGGGAACACGGAUCCCACCUCUCCCGCAGGGGGAGGAAUGUUUGUGGAACACGGACUGAAGCCACUGGUGAAAUUAGUGUCUGUUGUUUUGGGAACUUGGACAAUUUUGUCCUGAAUCUGAGGCUUUAGGGGGCUUGAAAGGCCACCUCGAGGAUGUCCGGCUGUGCCAGCCCCUCCCUGGGACUUCAGUAAGGUGCACGGGAGACAUGAAGCAGUCCGACGCUGCCUGACUUAAAGUCGGUAACGGAAAACAGGUCAGUUAUGCAACCCUGCCCCUGGCGUUCAUUAUGCUGAUAGUAUAGGAGCUGAGAACACUGCGAGUUCAUUCUCAAAAUUCACCGUGGGGCUUCCUGAGCUGCCGCACCUACCACUGUGCAGCCACCGACACAGCACUAAUGUGGCCACCAAUAACGAAGCAGCCAGGCCCUGGCCAUUGAAACCAGGUCCGUUGAGACACCCUAGGGCAGUGGUUCUCAACCUUCCUAAUGCCGCGACCCUUUAAUACAGUUCCUCACGUUGUGGUGACCCCCAAUUUCAUUGUUACAAAUUGA